Molecule: microRNA precursor, 84 nt
Filed under: Heligmosomoides polygyrus
Lineage: Eukaryota; Metazoa; Nematoda; Chromadorea; Rhabditida; Heligmosomidae
Description: microRNA hpo-mir-10058 precursor
Source: miRBase by way of RNAcentral
GGAACCGCUUGAUGUAUGCGCGAGGUCUGGGCCGCCUGGAUUGACAUGGCUGAGAGGGUCGUGAUUGUACUUCUUCCCACCUUC